GGGUUGUGAGGUUAAGCGACUAAGCGUACACGGUGGAUGCCUAGGCAAUCAGAGGCGAUGAAGGACGUGCUAAUCUGCGAUAAGCGUCGGUAAGGUGAUAUGAACCGUUACAACCGACGAUUUCCGAAUGGGGAAACCCAGUGCAAUCCGUUGCACUAUCGUUUGAUGAAUACAUAGUCAAACGAAGCGAACCGGGGGAACUGAAACAUCUCAGUACCCCGAGGAAAAGAAAUCAACCGAGAUUCCCCUAGUAGCGGCGAGCGAACGGGGAGCAGCCCAGAGUCUUAAUCAGCAUUAGCAUCAGGAGAACGGUCUGGAAAGUCCGGCAGUAAAGGGUGAUAGCCCCGUAUCCGAAGGUGUUAGUGUUGUGAACUCGACGAGUAGGGCGGGACACGUGUUAUCCUGUCUGAAUAUGGGGGGACCAUCCUCCAAGGCUAAAUACUCCUGAUUGACCGAUAGUGAACCAGUACCGUGAGGGAAAGGCGAAAAGAACCCCGGCGAGGGGAGUGAAAUAGAACCUGAAACCGUGUACGUACAAGCAGUGGGAGCACCUUUAGGGUGUGACUGCGUACCUUUUGUAUAAUGGGUCAGCGACUUAUAUUCUGUAGCAAGGUUAACCGUAUAGGGGAGCCGUAGGGAAACCGAGUCUUAACUGGGCGAAUAAGUUGCAGGGUAUAGACCCGAAACCCGGUGAUCUAGCCAUGGGCAGGUUGAAGGUUGGGUAACACUAACUGGAGGACCGAACCGACUAAUGUUGAAAAAUUAGCGGAUGACUUGUGGCUGGGGGUGAAAGGCCAAUCAAACCGGGAGAUAGCUGGUUCUCCCCGAAAGCUAUUUAGGUAGCGCCUCGUGAACUCAUCUUCGGGGGUAGAGCACUGUUUCGACUAGGGGGUCAUCCCGACUUACCAACUCGAUGCAAACUACGAAUACCGAAGAAUGUUAUCACGGGAGACACACGGCGGGUGCUAACGUUCGUCGUGAAGAGGGAAACAACCCAGACCGCCAGCUAAGGUCCCAAAGUCAUAGUUAAGUGGGAAACGAAGUGGGAAGGCUCAGACAGCCAGGAUGUUGGCUUAGAAGCAGCCAUCAUUUAAAGAAAGCGUAAUAGCUCACUGGUCGAGUCGGCCUGCGCGGAAGAUGUAACGGGGCUAAACUAUGCACCGAAGCUGCGGCAGCGAUAUUUAGAUAUUGUUGGGUAGGGGAGCGUUCUGUAAGCCUGUGAAGGUGUGCUGUGAGGCAUGCUGGAGGUAUCAGAAGUGCGAAUGCUGACAUAAGUAACGAUAAUGCGGGUGAAAAACCCGCACGCCGGAAGACCAAGGGUUCCUGUCCAACGUUAAUCGGGGCAGGGUGAGUCGACCCCUAAGGCGAGGCAGAAAUGCGUAGUCGAUGGGAAACGGGUUAAUAUUCCCGUACUGGUGAUAAUUGCGAUGGGGGGACGGAGAAGGCUAGGCUAUCCGGGCGACGGUUGUCCCGGUUUAAGGAUGUAGGCAGGUGAAUUAGGCAAAUCCGGUUCACUACAUGCUGAGGUCCGAUGACGAGUCACUACGGUGAUGAAGUAGCUCAUGCCCCGCUUCCAGGAAAAGCCUCUAAGCUCUAGAUUAUCAUUAAUCGUACCCCAAACCGACACAGGUGGUCAGGUAGAGAAUACUCAGGCGCUUGAGAGAACUCGGGUGAAGGAACUAGGCAAAAUGGUGCCGUAACUUCGGGAGAAGGCACGCUGGCAUUAGGUGAAGUGAUUUACUCAUGGAGCUGAAGCCAGUCGCAGAUACCAGCUGGCUGCAACUGUUUAUUAAAAACACAGCACUGUGCAAACACGAAAGUGGACGUAUACGGUGUGACGCCUGCCCGGUGCUGGAAGGUUAAUUGAUGGGGUUAUCCGUAAGGAGAAGCUCUUGAUCGAAGCCCCAGUAAACGGCGGCCGUAACUAUAACGGUCCUAAGGUAGCGAAAUUCCUUGUCGGGUAAGUUCCGACCUGCACGAAUGGCGUAAUGAUGGCCAGGCUGUCUCCACCCGAGACUCAGUGAAAUUGAACUCGCUGUGAAGAUGCAGUGUACCCGCGGCAAGACGGAAAGACCCCGUGAACCUUUACUAUAGCUUGACACUGAACAUUGAGCCUUGAUGUGUAGGAUAGGUGGGAGGCUUUGAAGUGUGGACGCCAGUCUGCAUGGAGCCAACCUUGAAAUACCACCCUUUAAUGUUUGAUGUUCUAACGUUGCCCCAUUAUCUGGGGUGCGGACAGUGUCUGGUGGGUAGUUUGACUGGGGCGGUCUCCUCCCAAAGAGUAACGGAGGAGCACGAAGGUUGGCUAAGCAUGGUCGGACAUCAUGCGGUUAGUGCAAAGGCAUAAGCCAGCUUGACUGCGAGAGUGACGGCUCGAGCAGGUACGAAAGUAGGUCUUAGUGAUCCGGUGGUUCUGAAUGGAAGGGCCAUCGCUCAACGGAUAAAAGGUACUCCGGGGAUAACAGGCUGAUACCGCCCAAGAGUUCAUAUCGACGGCGGUGUUUGGCACCUCGAUGUCGGCUCAUCACAUCCUGGGGCUGAAGUAGGUCCCAAGGGUACGGCUGUUCGCCGUUUAAAGUGGUACGCGAGCUGGGUUUAGAACGUCGUGAGACAGUUCGGUCCCUAUCUGCCGUGGGCGUUGGAAGAUUGAAAGGGGCUGCUCCUAGUACGAGAGGACCGGAGUGGACGCACCACUGGUGUUCGGGUUGUCAUGCCAAUGGCAUUGCCCGGUAGCUAAGUGCGGAAGAGAUAACCGCUGAAAGCAUCUAAGCGGGAAACUUGCCUUGAGAUGAGUCUUCCCUGACUCUUUAAGGGUCCUAAAGGAACGUUUAAGACUAAGACGUUGAUAGGUUGGGUGUGUAAGCGUAGCGAUACGUUGAGCUAACCAAUACUAAUGAACCGUGAGGCUUAACCUGACAACACCGAAGGUGUUUUAG
Molecule: ribosomal RNA, 2936 nt
Filed under: Providencia rettgeri
Lineage: Bacteria; Pseudomonadati; Pseudomonadota; Gammaproteobacteria; Enterobacterales; Morganellaceae
Description: 23S ribosomal RNA
Rfam family: Bacterial large subunit ribosomal RNA
Source: RNAcentral